AGCUCAGCGAGCGCACGCCCGUGCCGCCCUCUCGAGAGCACAGGGGCCGGAUGUUCUGCUGGCGCUGGCGCGGAUCCAGGAAAGAGACGUGGGACUGGGAGCCCACCGCGUACAGGGACAACUCGUCGCAGUAGCCAGCUGCCAUGUUGUGAGUUGCCUUGUGGAGAGACCCACUUUGUAAGGAGCUGAUGUCAGCUUGCCAACAGCCACAUGAGAGGGCUCAGAAGAGGAUUCCCCCUCUCCUGCCACCAGGAAAGAGCAAAGCCUUGGAGGACAGACAGAUAUUAGUUUGAAUAGUGGCUCCACCAAGUUACAAACUGUGCAAUCUGAGAUAUAGGAUUUGUAUGGGUGACAGAAAGACUGAAAUCACUAGAAGCUUUCAGCCAUGAAGAAGUUGUGCACUGUAAACACUCAAAUCAAGAUCUUUCAUCCGUGACAGAAUGGCUUGUUACUUUGCACAAAGGACAAUAAACUGGCUCAUAAGCAAAGUGAGUAAUUUUUUUAAACACUCUACUGCAUGUAUAACAAUCCUUGUAGCAUAUCUGUCAAGCACAUCAUUUGUAAAUACAAAAUGAAUUCAAAAGUAAAUCUUAAAGCCCGACAAUCAGGGAGAAAAACUUUGGUGGAAACCAGAUGGAUCCAAGAAAUAGGUAAUCAGGAAGUCUGACAAAUUACUUUUCACAAAUUACCUUCUUGGUGAUGUACAUCCAAAAUGGAAAAUGUUGCUGAAAGAUAGCUGUAUUUAUUUACUGAGAGGGAGAAGAAAUCUGGGGAAUAGAAUUUUUUUCUGUAUUAUUUUUCCAUCUUACUGAUGAGGCCAUAGUAAAAAUAAAUCUGUAAGUCACAGGCAUACGUUUUAUUUUGUGUAGAUCCCGAUAACUCAAAGUUAAUGAUGUAAACAAAAACAUAUAAGAGAAUGGUCCCAUAACAAAAUUUUGAAUGCAGAAAUAACUUUAGUUUUCCAAUAAAAGGAAGUUAAUGUUCUUUUUUGUUUGAUAAGAUGCUGCAAAAGAAUCUUUAGCCAAGUCAGAAACAACAACAACAAAAACAACAACAAUAGUAAUAAUAGAAGCCAAAAGAAAGGUUUUGAAAUGGAAUCAAAGGUCAG
RNAcentral lists this long non-coding RNA (1108 nucleotides) under Equus caballus (horse). RNAcentral's name for it is "lncRNA (ENSECAG00000055889.1)". The record is from RNAcentral. Lineage: Eukaryota; Metazoa; Chordata; Mammalia; Perissodactyla; Equidae.